CAAAGGUUUGGUCCUGGACUUACUGGUAAGUUUUAUUAUACCUACACAUGCUAGUUUCCGCAGCCCAGUGAGUAUGCCCUUUUAACUUUCACAGAGUCUAAAGGAGCAGGUAUCAGGCACACUUAAAAAGUAGCCCAUAACACCUUGUUUAACCACACCCCCACGGGUUACAGCAGUGACUAACAUUGAGCUAUAAACGAAAGUUUGACUAAAUCAUAAUAAAUAAGGGUUGGUAAAUCUCGUGCCAGCCACCGCGGUCAUACGAUUAACCCAAGUUAACAGAACAACGGCGUAAAGGGUGUUUAAGCAUUCAUCAUACCAAAUAAAGUUAAAGCUCAACUACGCUGUAAUACGCCAUAGUUGACAUUAAAAUACGCAACUUACGUGACUUUACCAAUGCUGAAGACACUAAAGCUAAGGUACAAACUGGGAUUAGAGACCCCACUAUGCUUAGCCGUAAACCAAGGUAAUUAAAUAACAAAAUUACUCGCCAGAGAACUACUAGCCACUGCUUAAAACUCAAAGGACUUGGCGGUGCCCUAGACCCUCCUAGAGGAGCCU
RNAcentral lists this ribosomal RNA (561 nucleotides) under Pseudantechinus bilarni (Sandstone dibbler). RNAcentral describes it as "partial 12S ribosomal RNA". It matches the Rfam family "Bacterial small subunit ribosomal RNA", at positions 8 to 940 of the family's 1533-position model. The record is from RNAcentral. Lineage: Eukaryota; Metazoa; Chordata; Mammalia; Dasyuromorphia; Dasyuridae.